Small nucleolar RNA from Cornus florida, 83 nucleotides. RefSeq annotates it as small nucleolar RNA snoR116. The record is from RefSeq and is a predicted model, not a curated record. The transcript has a single exon. NCBI's taxonomy places the organism in Eukaryota, Viridiplantae, Streptophyta, Magnoliopsida, Cornales, Cornaceae.
AGGCAAUGAUGAUGAAACAUAUACCAUCAAACUAUGAAAGCCAUAAAGCUUGUUGAUGUUCUAAAUCAUUACUCUCUGAGCCU